AAAAAAAACCAGAAAACCUCCCAAAGUCGCCUGGUACGAGGAGACCGCCGCCCCGCCGGCUCGCCGCCGCAGUCUGGACUCUGGAGUCGCUACCCGCCUACCCCACUCCGGUGGGAUGGCGUGGCCGGUGCCCUCUCGCUCCCCGGCGUUCCGCCAUUCGCAAGGUUUUAUUUCUUUUAGGUGCAUUUGGAUCAGGGGCAUUCGGCUGAUAUUUUGCUACUUCCUCCAGUAUCGUGCCAUGAUAUUUUGAGCAGAGGAACUCCCUUCUGAAAGAGCCCCGGUGUGCUGUAUUUGGUGAAUUGACCAGAAUGAUGAUGGGAUUCAAGAGUAUUCCUCUCCAUGGCCUUGCCAAAGAUAAUUUUCCAGUUGGUGAUGACUGAUGGCUGAUGAGAUCUCCUGAUACGCUUUGCCUACUUGGUGGAGGGUUGAGACGCCAGCAAGUGAAGCAGCGAUAAAUAUUGGAGCCUUGCCUGUUUCCAUUAGUGCUUCAUUAAACUGUCUGUGGUUCAGUCCAAAUUAGGACCUUCAAUCUUUUAUUAUGAGGUGUUUGCCGUUGCCUCCCCCUCUUUGCAUUCUGCAAUAUUUUUUCUGCUUGUGUUUAAUGUUCUUUACCAUUGUUUAUUUUCUUCUAUCAUAAAAGUUUCUGGGAAUUACAUCUUCUAUCAAAUUCAAUCAAAUAUAAUUAUUUGCAGGGGAACAACAACAAUUAGCUUGUCUGUCUUUAUUUAAUUUUGAUAAAUACACUUCUGCUUCCCUAUUCAAUUAAAUGGUCAAACUUGUGGUCUGGCACUCUAGAUAUUUCUAGAUAUUACAACUGGAUAUUCCAUUAGUGCAAAAUAUUUUAUACCCAUAUUAAUUUAUUAACUAUUUGUACAUUCCCACAGGAAAGUUUCCCAGUAUAUCUUAAUUGUCAACCAUCUUCAAGUUGUGAAUUUAUGAUCUACAAAUAUAUGUUUUUUACUUUUUUUCUACAAAAUGGUUCUGAAGAGCAUACAUACAUUAGCAAAUACAUCAGCAUAGAUGAGCAGCAAUUAAAAUAGGGAGAAAAGGGACAAUUGACUCUUGCCUAACAGUAGAUGGGCUGAAUAACUUUUUUUUUGGGGGGGGGGGGAGAUACUUUCUGUUCUUCAUUAAUAUUUUUUUAAAGUUUAAGCGAAUUGAAUUGAUGAAAUGGCCUUUCCCAGUUUUGGUUUAUUUUUUUAGCAGACACAAACUGGCCUGAUGGUGAUGCGUAUUAACCACUCAAGCUAACAAUAUUAUCAUUCCUAGAAUAUACAUCUUCUGAUACCUUUGUUGUUUUAGUCGAAUUGCGCUAAAAGAAAAAAAAAUUUACCUCCUUUCACUAACUUUUCUUUUGAUAAUCAGUUAAGUUAAUUAGCAUACAUCUUGUGGAUUUACAUUCAGUAUAUCAUUGAGCCUGAUCCAAAUUCAUUGCAUAUUGCUUCUUACCUGUGAUAGUUGGCUCGAUUAAUUUGCGUUUUAGUGUUAAAAAUAGUUAAUUUCUCAACAAGAAUUGUACUUCGGAAGGAAUCUGGAACAAUUGUAUUUUUUUUCUUUAUGACUGUGCCAGAUGGAUAAGAGGUACCUUUACUUUGUAUUCCAUGGAAGUGCUGUAGUGCACUGUGAAAUUUACUAUGUUUAAAACUGCAUCCUGUUUUGGAAAUUGAGUCUCCAGCAUGUGCUUUGGAACUGUUUAAUAACUAUACCAUUUCUAGCUUUAUCAAAUUACAGUGUUAUGGAAGUUUAUCAAAUAUCACUUUGCAGAUGCUUAAAACAGGUCUACUUGUAUUCAGAUUUUUAUUGCAUGCAUGGACCUGUUGAAACGAACUUGAAUAGGAAGCGUUUAAUCGUUUUGACUCUGCUGUGUGGUAGUAGUAUCAAAAUGCAACAGCUAGCUAGGACCACCAGGCAAUGGUACUAAAACCUCCUUGUAGGGUCAUUACUCGAUCAUACACUUGCAGUCAUACUUUCCAAUGCUGUGCAACGGGUGGUUGGCUGGUCUGCAGCUGGUUGCUUGCAGAAAAUGCUGUGUCAGAUCUGACACCUCUUUUUUAAUGGAAGUAUCGCCGCGGAUAAAUCUAAUCAUCUAGAUACUAUACACAUCAAGAGGAGCCACACAAGGCAUUCUGACCCUAAGUCCCUAACUGAGCUAGUCCAUUUUUAUGUCUAUUGCCAAUUGCUUCUUUUGCCAUACUUUGGGAAGACUUGUAAGAAAAUUCAAGACUGUAUGUAUUUGCUAAGAAAAUAGUUUGACUUAAACUGUCCAGUCUGUCCUCUAAUAUUACUGUUUACUUCAAUGGUUUGAUUUCACCUUUUACAAGCUAAGAGUGUACAGUUUUCUUAAGCAUGUUAGGACUAAUUUCAUCAUUUAUCAAGGAGGCAAUGUCAUUAAUCCAUUUAUUGGCCUGUACAUCUAUUGUCAUUUCAGAGUUUUUAGGUAGAUCUAGCUGGUGAUGAUAGUGCCAACAAUAUCGCAGAGUAACUGAUUCAGUAGCUUUACAAUUACAAUCUAAUUAAGAUGACAUUGUCAUGAUGUGAACAGGAUUGAAGCAAAGCUGAGUUAGUGCUGAGGGACCAGUACAGCUAUCCUACUAGACAUAUUCAAUGCCUGCUUUUGCAACAUGGGAGGUCCUUAACCAGCUACCUUGGCACCACAAGGUGGCAAGGCAAAAACUGGCGUGACUUUUCCAAAAAUUUAAGAGCACUAGUCUCCAUCCUCCCCUAAAUUUUAUUAAGCGAACCUUAUAUGUCUAUUUUGUUCUGUAAGGAAUAUUGUCUUCCUUUUCAUAUCCAUAGUUUAUCUCAACUGUGUGGACUUCUUGUAACCUAUGUGAUAGGUUGAUAGAUUGUGACACAAACUAAGGAGCUAACAAACAUGCUAGCGCUAUUAAUUAAUAGAGGAGGAAAAGGCUAACUGGAGUAUGUUUAUUUUAAGCAUCCAAACUUAAUAGCGAGUUCACUACAUACCCAUCGCUUUUGGCAGUAGCUAUCACUGGACGUCACUAAGGUCUUAAUCAGAUGCUAAUAUUGUUGUGUACUAUAAAUAGUGAUCCAUUGUUGUUUUCAUCAACAUCCUAGACUCAGUCUAGUGUAUGUGUCAAUGGCAGCUAAUGUCCUCCUGUUGUUGUCCCGUUUAUUUUUUUGGCUGGCAAGAUCGUCCUUUAUGACUGACCAACUAACUGAAUUGGCCCACCUGCAUUGACUGCAUGCUUUACCAACCGAUAGAACCAACUGUGGAGAUGAUUCGCCCUUCAUUGCUCCUAUUUGUGUGUUGUGAAAUUAGGAAAGAGAGAAUAUGGGGACCAUGUUAUUUGUCAUCUGCUUCAGUCCUCUUGCUUUCUAGCUACCAUUUGAUAUUUAGAUAUGAUGUACUAGCGUUCAAUUUUGUUUCCAAGUUAAAAGGGAAGUGGUGAAGUUUUCUUUUGCGCUAAUAAUUCUGGAUUAACGUCACAACUCAAAGACAUGGUAGCUGAAGCUGACAUGAACUGAUUCUGCUUUUACUGUGUAUACUCCCCGCAGCCUGCCGUCUACUCUGUGGAUGAACAAUUGAAACAAUCAUAUGCAUUCUGGUGAGCUGUCACAAUUAAGUUGAUGGCUUCCUGUUAAUUGUGUAGACAUUGCAUUUAAUCAUCAAUUAAUCUACCAAACAUGCAAUCAGUGAUGUUUUUUGCCUGCCUUCCGCUGGUCAUUAUGGCUUGUGUGGUCGUAUGCUAACUUGGCAGCUUAUCAUUAAUCAUCUUUGUAUUAGGAUGCUUAUUAUUGAUGGUGAGGAAUAAUGCAUGCUAUUGUACGUUCGGUGAUUUGUUGUAAUCAAAUGAUAAUCCAUGUAUGGUGUUCACCUUUGUCACCUCAUGUUUCUGUACAAAUUUUGUGAACAUUAAUUUAGUCCAUUCGCUGAUUAUGCUCACAUGCUCUCAAUUGUUAUAUGUAUCUGAAACUGAGAUUCACGACCGAUAACAUCUAAGAAUAUAACCUUUCUUUUUUCACUACUGUUGCAUUAGAAUUAUUGCCAAAUUUCUCAUUGACGCACAUGCACUCAGUAAACAUUUUGCUUUGAGCUGAUUAAUGUAGUUGUGUGAAGUCUGUGCCAUUUGCUUGUUCCCUUGCAGUAUGUCUGCCUUGCCGAAAAGGUACGUGGCAUAAAUGCUCAAUGCCAUUUUCUUUAUUCUUGAGGAACUGCUAGCUAGACUAAUGCUCUAUGAUUUGAAAGGAUUACCCAAUAAAACACAUCUCAUUUUCCACAAGUAACUACUUCAUCAUAUCUAAUUGCAGAUGUUCCUUGAUGAGAAUCCGCAGCAGUACAAAUAUCAACUUCAUCAGAUUCCUGAAGUUCCUUUGAUGAAAACCCUCAGCAAGACAUCAGUAUGAAAGCAGAAGAAUGGAAGACAACAAUUACAAGCCUGAUAUUAUUGAUACAUAGCAAAGGGGUUUCACUAGUGACAGUGUGACUAUCAUGCCGGGGACUGCAUGCAUGCUCGUACAUACAACCAUGCAAUUUUCAGAUGACGAGGCUGCCUUCCCCAGCCUGCAGCAUCCCAUGUGAGUGCGAGACCGGGCUGCUCCUGCCCAGCAGCUCCUCGAUCAUCUGCAGCGCGAUCCUCUCCUCCUCGUCGUCCAUCAUUGCCGACGCCGACGGCGAGCCGUCCGUGGUCACCGUGGACGUGGAGGUCGGCGUGGCCGCCGCGCCGUCGCUGGGCGCCGGCUCCUCGCCGGACGACGAGGCGGCCGCUGCGGCGUCCUUGUUGAGCUGGACGGUCAUGACCCAGCUGGAGUCGGCGC
Molecule: long non-coding RNA, 4779 nt
Organism: Panicum virgatum (switchgrass)
Lineage: Eukaryota; Viridiplantae; Streptophyta; Magnoliopsida; Poales; Poaceae
Exons: 5
Source: RefSeq, a predicted model, not a curated record